UACGUAGGCGGAAAAUUAAGUCAGUAGUGAAAUCCCGCAGCUUAACUGUGGAACUGUUAUUGAUACUGGUUUUCUUGAAUAUAGUUGAGGUAGGCGGAAUGUGUAAUGUAGCGGUGAAAUGCUUAGAUAUUACACAGAACACCGAUUGCGAAGGCAGCUUACUAAGCUAUGAUUGACGCUGAGAUACGAAAGCGUGGGGAGCGAACAGGAUUAGAUACCCUGGUAGUCC
RNAcentral lists this ribosomal RNA (229 nucleotides) under uncultured bacterium. RNAcentral's name for it is "partial 16S ribosomal RNA". It matches the Rfam family "Bacterial small subunit ribosomal RNA", at positions 568 to 796 of the family's 1533-position model. The record is from RNAcentral.